This 112-nucleotide transfer RNA is filed under the name Podospora comata. It matches the Rfam family "tRNA". From Rfam's summary of the family: Transfer RNA (tRNA) molecules are approximately 80 nucleotides in length. Their secondary structure includes four short double-helical elements and three loops (D, anti-codon, and T loops). Further hydrogen bonds mediate the characteristic L-shaped molecular structure. tRNAs have two regions of fundamental functional importance: the anti-codon, which is responsible for specific mRNA codon recognition, and the 3' end, to which the tRNAs corresponding amino acid is attached (by aminoacyl-tRNA synthetases). tRNAs cope with the degeneracy of the genetic code in two manners: having more than one tRNA (with a specific anti-codon) for a particular amino acid; and 'wobble' base-pairing, i.e. permitting non-standard base-pairing at the 3rd anti-codon position. RNAcentral also lists the same sequence under 5 other names. The record is from RNAcentral. Lineage: Eukaryota; Fungi; Ascomycota; Sordariomycetes; Sordariales; Podosporaceae.
GGUGAGAUGGCCGAGCGGUCUAAGGCGCCACGUUAAGGUCUUCCUUAAUCAACAUCUUCUAGCAAAGAUUCCGUGGUCCGAAAGGGCGUGGGUUCGAAUCCCACUCUCAUCA